CAGUCGCCACGGUAAUACGAAGGGGGCUAGCGUUGCUCGGAAUGACUGGGCGUAAAGGGCGCGUAGGCGGAUUGUUUAGUUAGGCGUGAAAUUCCUGGGCUUAACCUGGGGACUGCGCUUAAUACAGGCAGUCUAGAGUGAGGAAGAGGGUUGUGGAAUUCCCAGUGUAGAGGUGAAAUUCGUAGAUAUUGGGAAGAACACCGGUGGCGAAGGCGGCAACCUGGUCCUUGACUGACGCUGAGGCGCGAAAGCGUGGGGAGCAAACAGGAUUAGAUACCCCCGUAGUCCCUGUCUCUUAUAC
Molecule: ribosomal RNA, 301 nt
Filed under: uncultured bacterium
Lineage: Bacteria
Description: partial 16S ribosomal RNA
Rfam family: Bacterial small subunit ribosomal RNA
Source: RNAcentral